CUAUCUGUGUGUGUGUGUGUGUGUGUGUGUGUACACACACACACACACACACACACACACACAGUGGUA
Molecule: microRNA precursor, 69 nt
Filed under: Podarcis lilfordi (Lilford's wall lizard)
Lineage: Eukaryota; Metazoa; Chordata; Lepidosauria; Squamata; Lacertidae
Source: RNAcentral